RNAcentral lists this transfer RNA (58 nucleotides) under Dipodomys ordii (Ord's kangaroo rat). It matches the Rfam family "tRNA", at positions 8 to 63 of the family's 71-position model. Rfam says of the family: Transfer RNA (tRNA) molecules are approximately 80 nucleotides in length. Their secondary structure includes four short double-helical elements and three loops (D, anti-codon, and T loops). The record is from Rfam by way of RNAcentral. Lineage: Eukaryota; Metazoa; Chordata; Mammalia; Rodentia; Heteromyidae.
UGGCUCAGUAGUAGAGCACUUGCUUUGCAUGCAUGAAGCCCUGGGUUCGAUUCCUCAG